This 918-nucleotide long non-coding RNA is filed under the name Equus asinus (donkey). RNAcentral's name for it is "lncRNA (ENSEASG00005034935.1)". Lineage: Eukaryota; Metazoa; Chordata; Mammalia; Perissodactyla; Equidae. The record is from RNAcentral.
CCACUUUGCACGCAUACAAACAUGUUCUUUAUGCACACGGUCUACGUUAAUAAAUAUCACCUGUACUGAACACCAAAAAAAACUUCCUUUUAAAUAACUCUGAGUUUUCCCUAUAAAACUAAUUAAUUGAACUGAGAAAGAGCUUAAUUUAUAUCUUUACAUCUAUAGCACACCUACGCAAUAAGCCACCAAAAGACUUUCGGAAAUAGAUGUUGAAACUGAUACCUUCUUCACGUGAAACGCCGCGGAGACACUCCCCCGAAACCCUCUUGGCUGCUCCAUCGGUAACACUUUCUUGUGGUGAGUGGGUAACGUCACUCUAGAGCAGCCGUUGCUGAUGUUCAACCGGGGGAGAAAUAUGCUGCUACAGGCUUGGGAUUUCUGUUUAUUCUCUCACUUGUUAAAGACAAUUCUCUAAUUUUUAGGUGGAUUCAUUACAUCUGUUGAUCAUCUGGAUUCAGAGCCUUUAAUUUGACCUUCACAUAAGAAACGUGAAGACUCCCGAAUCCUAAAAUUCUUCUGUGCAGUCGCUCCAGUCUGUAAAACCUGGUGAAGCAUUAUUAGAAGACAAAAAAUCGGUCAAGCUAUGCUACAAAGCCAAAUUGAGUCCUUUAAUGAAUUCAACUUUUAACAAUAUAAUUUAGUUUAAAUAAUAGUAUAUUUAUAGUUACAAUCAAUUUAAAAAACAUUUUCUCGUUUUUCUCCUUUAAAACAUUUUGUUUCAUUCCUGUGAUAAAAAGAAUUGAUUUUUGUUCUUCUACUACAUAAAUUUGCAGAAAAGUGUGGUGUUUUUCUGUUUUGCUUUUACAGCCCUCAGCAAAUUUUGGUAUAAGAGCAGUCAGUGGUGUUUCACAGUCUCUGUGGCAAAUAGUUCACUUUUCCAUGGGUCACACGAAAGUUUAUUCAAGGAAGAUUCAG